Molecule: long non-coding RNA, 776 nt
Filed under: Homo sapiens (human)
Lineage: Eukaryota; Metazoa; Chordata; Mammalia; Primates; Hominidae
Description: HSALNT0334868
Source: RNAcentral
GUUAAUUUUUGUAUUUUUAUUAGAGACAGGGAUUUUCCAGGUUGCCCAGGAUGGUCUUGAAAUCCUGGGCUCAAGCCAUCCGCCUGCCUCGGCCUCCCAAAGUGCUGGGAUUGCAGGCUUGAGCCACCGUGCCCAGCCGAUUCCUAUAAACUCUUGAUAAAUAACUCUAAUCCAAAGUUCGUGAUCUAAAAUAUAAAUCCUUACUGCUAAUAAAGCACAUUUGUUUUUGUUCUAAAAAAUGGCUUAUAAUGAACCAUUAUUUUUUCUAUGACCUUUAAUGCUCAUAAAGGUAUUGAGACUAACCACCUUAAAUAAUCUACAUCUGCCAAAUACGCUGUGCCUUACUGUUUUAUCUGCCCUAAUAAGAUCAGUUCUCCUCUCCUCUGCUUUCCAAAGUUGCAUCUGCUACAAAGCUGCAGAGUUCUCAGAAUGAGGCUCAUGAAUGGUGGUCUCAGACUGGGCACGGAAUGAAGGAAGGAAGACAAGAAGAUAUGGAAGAAGGGAAAGGAGGAAUAAGGGGAAGAAACAAGUAAAACUGGUUAGGCCACAAGUGAAAAUAAGCUGGGUCCUUUCACUAGAAGUUCUGUUGCCUGUAGAUAAUCUUGCUGAGCUGUUAAUUGUGCUAAAGGCAGCUAUAGAAGCAGAAUAACUGAAGUGAAACAUCUCAUCUUCACCACAAAUGCCUUUUCUGAAUAUACUUCUUUACUUAUUUCUUUUACUAUUGCUACCAGUCCCUCUAAUACUUGUUUGAAUCCUUUGUACAGUGGUUCUCAAAA